RNAcentral lists this ribosomal RNA (493 nucleotides) under uncultured bacterium. RNAcentral's name for it is "bacterial SSU rRNA". It matches the Rfam family "Bacterial small subunit ribosomal RNA", at positions 28 to 528 of the family's 1533-position model. The record is from RNAcentral.
GACGAACGCUGGCGGCGUGCCUAACACAUGCAAGUCGAGCGGAGAUAGACUGAUGGUAACUGAAGUUUGUCUUAGCGGCGGACGGGUGAGUAACACGUGGGCAACCUGCCUUGGAGUGGGGGAUAACACCGGGAAAUCGGUGCUAAUACCGCAUAACAUACACAAACUGCAUGGUAAGUGUAUCAAAGGAGUAAUCCGCUUUAAGAUGGGCCCGCGGCUGAUUAGCUAGUUGGUAAGGUAACGGCUUACCAAGGCGACGAUCAGUAGCCGACCUGAGAGGGUGACCGGGCCACACUGGAACUGAGACACGGUCCAGACUCCUACGGGGGCAGCAGUGGGGGAUCUUGCACAAUGGGCGAAAGCCUGAUGCAGCGACGCCGCGUGAGCGAAGAAGGCCUUCGGGUUGUAAAGCUCUGUCUGGAGGGACGAAGGAAGUGACGGUACCUCCGGAGGAAGCCACGGCUAACACGUGCCAGCAGCCGCGGUAAGAUCA